This 77-nucleotide transfer RNA is filed under the name Cobetia sp. RNAcentral's name for it is "tRNA-Met". It matches the Rfam family "tRNA". From Rfam's summary of the family: Transfer RNA (tRNA) molecules are approximately 80 nucleotides in length. Their secondary structure includes four short double-helical elements and three loops (D, anti-codon, and T loops). Lineage: Bacteria; Pseudomonadati; Pseudomonadota; Gammaproteobacteria; Oceanospirillales; Halomonadaceae. The record is from RNAcentral.
UGCGGGAUGGAGCAGUCUGGUAGCUCGUCGGGCUCAUAACCCGAAGGUCAUCGGUUCAAAUCCGGUCCCCGCUACCA